Molecule: ribosomal RNA, 1190 nt
Filed under: Magallana ariakensis (Suminoe oyster)
Lineage: Eukaryota; Metazoa; Mollusca; Bivalvia; Ostreida; Ostreidae
Description: 12S ribosomal RNA
Rfam family: Microsporidia small subunit ribosomal RNA (bases 368-1141)
Source: RNAcentral
AGGUGCUUACACGCUUUAGCUUUAAGUUCCAUAUGGCGGGCUUAAACUGUUGAGUGCAGGUAUUAAAAUCUUUGAUGGCUAGUAAGUUGUGUUCAGCAUAAAAGGCUUUAGUUAAAGCCUGUAAAUAAAGGCGCAUAAUAAGCAGAUUAGUUUUAUAGCUAUUAAGUAUAAAGGCUGCUUUGAAAGUAAAAUAAGGUAAAUAUUUGGUUCUGGUAUAAUGUUAGCUACAGAGUUUUUUACAUUACACAAUGUAGAAUAAUUUCGUGAUGUGUAAAAGUUUGAUUUACGUGAUAAGCCAAACUUAAACAUCCUAAAAGGAAAAGUUGGCAGCAAGAGCAUAAGUUUUUAAUGAUGACGCGAAGGAAAUCACAACUCAAGUGGGUAGAUCUGGAAAUCAAUGAGUUCUAGCUUGAAACGAAUAAAAAACUAACUAAAUUGAAGCGAAAGAGGGUGCCAGCAGCUGCGGUCACUCCCUCUCUCGAGGAGCUAAUAAGGGUGCAGCUUAGAGGCAGUUAGUCAAAAUGCAUAAUGCAAGACAUACAGCAAGGACUAUGGGCGAAAUCUCAGUCUUGCGGGAGGUCCAAAACUUGCGUAAAGAUGAGUCUGCGAAGUUAUGGGUAUAGACCCGGAUUUGGUACCCGGUUAUUCCAUAAUGUCAAGUAUAACUAUUUUAUUAGAAUUAAUAGUUUGCUAGGGGUACUACGAGCAACUGCUUAAAACUCGAAGAACUUGGCGGUUCCGCACAACCACCCAGAGGCUCUUGGCGCUUAAUCUGAUGGUCCGCGUGAUAUCUUACCUGCCCUAUAGAAAGCAGUGUACUGCCGUCGAAAGCUUAUGAUGUGAGUAAGUGAAAAUAGGCCCGAUCUUGGGGUUUUAAGUAAUUAAUAAUCAUGCCGAGGCUAGGUCAGGUCGAAGUGCUCCUUAUGGGCAAGGGGUUAGCUGAGAGACAAAUAUUUAGACAUAUGAAGAUUUUAGGGAUGAAAUUCUCUUAGUGAAUAUAAGGAUUUGGGAGUAAAAAGAGAGUAACUCGUUUUUUUGAAAAGACGCAACUGCGGUGCGUUCAAAUCGCCCGUCACCCUAGCCGAAAGGAGAGGUAAGUCGUAACAUGGUAAGGGUAGGGGAACUUGCUCUUUUAAUGAAAAAGUAAAAAGUAAGAAGGCAUGCUUAAUUUUUUAGGCUUUACUAGAAAG